This 68-nucleotide transfer RNA is filed under the name Tropidomya abbreviata. RNAcentral describes it as "tRNA-Ala". The record is from RNAcentral. Lineage: Eukaryota; Metazoa; Mollusca; Bivalvia; Poromyidae.
AGUAAUGUAGUUAAAUAUAUAACUGUUGGUUUGCAUUCAAUUAUUAAGAAUUAUGUUCUUUAUUACUA